Molecule: non-coding RNA, 28 nt
Filed under: Mus musculus (house mouse)
Lineage: Eukaryota; Metazoa; Chordata; Mammalia; Rodentia; Muridae
Source: RNAcentral
UGNGCUUGCAUUUGAUGUUUACAUGCCA